GACGAACGCUGGCGGCGUGCUUAACACAUGCAAGUCGAACGGAAAGGCCCUGCUUUUGUUGGUUGCUCGAGUGGCGAACGGGUGAGUAACACGUGAGUAACCUGCCCUUGACUUUGGGAUAACUUCAGGAAACUGGGGCUAAUACCGGAUAGGAGCUCCUGCUGCAUGGGGUGGGUUGGAAAGGUUCGGCGGUUGGGGAUGGACUCGCGGCUUAUCAGCUUGUUGGUGGGGUAGUGGCUUACCAAGGCUUCGACGGGUAGCCGGCCUGAGAGGGUGACCGGCCACAUUGGGACUGAGAUAGGGGCCAGACUCGUACGGGAGGCAGCAGUGGGGAAUAUUGCACAAUGGGCGGAAGCCUGAUGCAGCAACGCCGCGUGCGGGAUGACGGCCUUCGGGUUGUAAACCGCUUUCGCCUGUGACGAAGCGUGAUUGACGGUAAUGGGUAAAGAAGCACCGGCUAACUACGUG
Molecule: ribosomal RNA, 468 nt
Filed under: uncultured bacterium
Lineage: Bacteria
Description: partial 16S ribosomal RNA
Rfam family: Bacterial small subunit ribosomal RNA
Source: RNAcentral